Molecule: ribosomal RNA, 132 nt
Filed under: Paradoxia multiseta
Lineage: Eukaryota; Viridiplantae; Chlorophyta; Trebouxiophyceae; Coccomyxaceae
Source: RNAcentral
GCUGGAUUAACUUCUUGGUGCACUUGUUGCAAUGGAACCACGCCGAUCCAUCCCGAACUCGGCCGUGAAACACUGCAAGGGUGACAAUACUCCCUGGGUAACUGGGCGGAAAGAUAGCCUUGUGCCAAGAAG